RNAcentral lists this ribosomal RNA (495 nucleotides) under uncultured bacterium. RNAcentral's name for it is "partial 16S ribosomal RNA". It matches the Rfam family "Bacterial small subunit ribosomal RNA", at positions 28 to 507 of the family's 1533-position model. The record is from RNAcentral.
GACGAACGCUGGCGGCGUGCCUAAUACAUGCAAGUAGAACGCUGAAGGAGGAGCUUGCUUCUCCGGAUGAGUUGCGAACGGGUGAGUAACGCGUAGGUAACCUGCCUGGUAGCGGGGGAUAACUAUUGGAAACGAUAGCUAAUACCGCAUAAGAGUAGAUGUUGCAUGACAUUUGCUUAAAAGGUGCAAUUGCAUCACUACCAGAUGGACCUGCGUUGUAUUAGGUAGUUGUUGGGGUAACGGCUUACCAAGGCGACGAUGCAUAGCCGCACGGAGAGGGGGAUCGGCCACACUGGGACUGAGACCCGGCCCAGACUCCUACGGGAGGCAGCAGUAGGGCAUCUUCGGCAAUGGACGGAAGUCUGACCGAGCAACGCCGCGGGCGUGAAGAAGGUUUUCGGGUCGUAGAGCUCUGUUGUAAGAGAAGAACGAGUGUGAGAGUGGAAAGUUCACACUGUGACGGUAUCUUACCAGAAAGGGACGGCUAACUACGUG